CUGGAGGUAUCAGAAGUGCGAAUGCUGACAUAAGUAACGAUAAAGCGGGUGAAAAGCCCGCUCGCCGGAAGACCAAGGGUUCCUGUCCAACGUUAAUCGGGGCAGGGUGAGUCGACCCCUAAGGCGAGGCCGAAAGGCGUAGUCGAUGGGAAACGGGUUAAUAUUCCCGUACUUGGUGUUACUGCGAAGGGGGGACGGAGAAGGCUAUGUUGGCCGGGCGACGGUUGUCCCGGUUUAAGCGUGUAGGUGUGUGUUCCAGGUAAAUCCGGUUCACUUUAACACUGAGGCGUGACGACGAGGCACUACGGUGCUGAAGCAACAAAUGCCCUGCUUCCAGGAAAAGCCUCUAAGCAUCAGGUAACAUCAAAUCGUACCCCAAACCGACACAGGUGGUCAGGUAGAGAAUACCAAGGCGCUUGAGAGAACUCGGGUGAAGGAACUAGGCAAAAUGGUGCCGUAACUUCGGGAGAAGGCACGCUGACACGUAGGUGAAGUGAUUUACUCACGGAGCUGAAGUCAGUCGAAGAUACCAGCUGGCUGCAACUGUUUAUUAAAAACACAGCACUGUGCAAACACGAAAGUGGACGUAUACGGUGUGACGCCUGCCCGGUGCCGGAAGGUUAAUUGAUGGGGUCAGCGCAAGCGAAGCUCCUGAUCGAAGCCCCGGUAAACGGCGGCCGUAACUAUAACGGUCCUAAGGUAGCGAAAUUCCUUGUCGGGUAAGUUCCGACCUGCACGAAUGGCGUAAUGAUGGCCAGGCUGUCUCCACCCGAGACUCAGUGAAAUUGAACUCGCUGUGAAGAUGCAGUGUACCCGCGGCAAGACGGAAAGACCCCGUGAACCUUUACUAUAGCUUGACACUGAACAUUGAGCCUUGAUGUGUAGGAUAGGUGGGAGGCUUUGAAGCGUGGACGCCAGUCUGCGUGGAGCCGACCUUGAAAUACCACCCUUUAAUGUUUGAUGUUCUAACGUGGACCCGUUACCCGGGUUGCGGACAGUGUCUGGUGGGUAGUUUGACUGGGGCGGUCUCCUCCUAAAGAGUAACGGAGGAGCACGAAGGUUGGCUAAUCCUGGUCGGACAUCAGGAGGUUAGUGCAAUGGCAUAAGCCAGCUUGACUGCGAGCGUGACGGCGCGAGCAGGUGCGAAAGCAGGUCAUAGUGAUCCGGUGGUUCUGAAUGGAAGGGCCAUCGCUCAACGGAUAAAAGGUACUCCGGGGAUAACAGGCUGAUACCGCCCAAGAGUUCAUAUCGACGGCGGUGUUUGGCACCUCGAUGUCGGCUCAUCACAUCCUGGGGCUGAAGUAGGUCCCAAGGGUAUGGCUGUUCGCCAUUUAAAGUGGUACGCGAGCUGGGUUUAGAACGUCGUGAGACAGUUCGGUCCCUAUCUGCCGUGGGCGCUGGAGAACUGAGGGGGGCUGCUCCUAGUACGAGAGGACCGGAGUGGACGCAUCACUGGUGUUCGGGUUGUCAUGCCAAUGGCACUGCCCGGUAGCUAAAUGCGGAAGAGAUAAGUGCUGAAAGCAUCUAAGCACGAAACUUGCCCCGA
RNAcentral lists this ribosomal RNA (1546 nucleotides) under Salmonella enterica. RNAcentral's name for it is "partial 23S ribosomal RNA". It matches the Rfam family "Bacterial large subunit ribosomal RNA", at positions 1273 to 2802 of the family's 2925-position model. The record is from RNAcentral. Lineage: Bacteria; Pseudomonadati; Pseudomonadota; Gammaproteobacteria; Enterobacterales; Enterobacteriaceae.